RNAcentral lists this ribosomal RNA (433 nucleotides) under uncultured bacterium. RNAcentral's name for it is "partial 16S ribosomal RNA". It matches the Rfam family "Bacterial small subunit ribosomal RNA", at positions 29 to 507 of the family's 1533-position model. The record is from RNAcentral.
AACGAACGCUGGCGGCAUGCCUAACACAUGCAAGUCGAACGAGACCUUCGGGUCUUGUGGCGCACGGGUGCGUAACGCGUGGGAACCUGCCCUUAGGUUCGGCAUAACUCCCCGAAAGGGGUGCUAAUACCGGAUAAUGUCUUCGGCCCAAAGAUUUAUCGCCUUUGGAUGGGCCCGCGUUGGAUUAGCUAGUUGGUAGGGUAAAAGCCUACCACGGCGACGAUCCAUAGCUGGUCUGAGAGGAUGAUCAGCCACACUGGGACUGAGACACGGCCCAGACUCCUACGGGAGGCAGCAGAGGGGAAUAGUGGACAAGCGGCGAAAGCCUGAUCCAGCAAGGCCGCGUGAGUGAUGAAGGCCUUGGGGAUGUAAAGCGCUUUUACCCGGGAAGAUAAUGACAGUACCGGGAGAAUAAGCUCCGGCUAACUCCGUG